This 719-nucleotide long non-coding RNA is filed under the name Anser brachyrhynchus (Pink-footed goose). RNAcentral describes it as "lncRNA (ENSABRG00000001419.1)". The record is from RNAcentral. Lineage: Eukaryota; Metazoa; Chordata; Aves; Anseriformes; Anatidae.
CACGGGCUGACAUCCCCGGGUAGCAAAGGGAAUGCUCCGCUUUCCUGGGGGCUGCAGGGUGGGAGGGAUGUGCAUGUGCCCGACUGGUGCUGACCCCUAGCCAGGGCAUUUUGGGGUUAUUUUUCCCCAGAGCUUCCAGCGCCGGGCAAUGAUUUGCCCCUCAUCAGCCCCUUUAAGGGCGAAGAUGCCAGCGGGAGAACUACAGCUGUAGAUCUGAGUGCUGCCGCCAGGAGACAACAGCCUGCCCAGGGUGCCGGUGGGAUCUGGGGAGAGGGAAGCAGUAGAUCUGCUGCCUGGUCCAGCGCACACCAGGCUGUCCUUUCUGGAGGUUUCUCUGCAGAACUGGGCAGACAUUGCUGGAGGGAUCGUGUGUUGAUGAUGAAGGGAAGAGAUGAAGGUCUGGGUCCAGCUUGAGCUGUGGGUCACUUAGGCUUUGCAAUACACUUCUGCUGGUGGUCCCAGGGGAGGCAGCAGUGGGAUUUGCUUUUAUUCAGUAAAAGAAACAAAACAGAAUGCAUCACUGAUAUCUGCAAAACCAACAUGGCCAGCUGCUGGCUUUAGAAAAUCACAACCAGACAGACGUGUGACCACACCAUGUCUGUUCUCUUUGUGCCUGCUAGGAUUUCUGAGCCUAGCAUCAGGCCACCUCCUACAGCCUUUUACUUUACAAAUGAGGGCCAGAAACUCUAAAGAAAUAAAAGAGUAAGGUGAAGUUUCCA